GGGCCUGCUCGGUGAUUUAUAUUUAACAGCUGCGGUAUUAUAACUGUACUAAGGUAGCAUAAUAAUUUGCUCUAUAAAUUGGGGCUAGAAUGAAUGGUUUGACGAAAAUUAAUCUGUCUCUGUUUUAUUUAUUAGAAAUUAAUUUUUAUAGUGAAAAAGCUUAAAUAGUUUAAAGGGACGAAAAGACCCUAUUGAGCUUAUAUUAAUAUUUAUAGUAUUAUAAGUAUAUAUAUAUAUAUAUAUAUAUAUAUAUAUAUAUAUAUAUUAUGAGUAUAUGUUAUAAAUAUAUUAAUUUUGGUUGGGGUGAUCAAGGAAUAAAGUAUUGAAAAAUUUUUAUAUAACUUCCUUAAUUUUUAAUUUUAUUGAUUAAUAAACCAAUAUUUUUGCUUAUAUGAUAAGUUACCAUAGGGAUAACAGCGUAAUUUUUUUUGAGAGUUCAUAUUG
Molecule: ribosomal RNA, 444 nt
Filed under: Cistopus indicus
Lineage: Eukaryota; Metazoa; Mollusca; Cephalopoda; Octopoda; Octopodidae
Description: partial 16S ribosomal RNA
Source: RNAcentral